GACGAACGCUGGCGGCGUGCUUAACACAUGCAAGUCGAACGGUAAGGCUCCAGCUUGCUGGGGUACACGAGUGGCGAACGGGUGAGUAACACGUGGGUGACCUGCCCUGCACUUCGGGAUAAGCCUGGGAAACUGGGUCUAAUACCGGAUAGGACCGCACCGUGAGGGUGUGGUGGAAAGUUUUUUCGGUGUGGGAUGGGCCCGCGGCCUAUCAGCUUGUUGGUGGGGUAAUGGCCUACCAAGGCGGCGACGGGUAGCCGGCCUGAGAGGGUGGACGGCCACAUUGGGACUGAGACACGGCCCAGACUCCUACGGGAGGCAGCAGUGGGGAAUAUUGCACAAUGGACGGAAGCCUGAUGCAGCGACGCCGCGUGGGGGAUGACGGCCUUCGGGUUGUAAACUCCUUUCACCAUCGACGAAGGGUUUCUGACGGUAGAUGGAGAAGAAGCACCGGCUAACUACGUG
This 465-nucleotide ribosomal RNA is filed under the name uncultured bacterium. RNAcentral's name for it is "partial 16S ribosomal RNA". It matches the Rfam family "Bacterial small subunit ribosomal RNA", at positions 28 to 507 of the family's 1533-position model. The record is from RNAcentral.